AGAACGAACGCUGGCGGCAGGCUUAACACAUGCAAGUCGAGCGCCUCGCAAGAGGAGCGGCAGACGGGUGAGUAACACGUGGGAACAUACCCUCCGGUUCGGAAUAACUCAGGGAAACUUGAGCUAAUACCGGAUACGGUCGAGAGGCGAAAGAUUUAUCGCCGGAGGAUUGGCCCGCGUCCGAUUAGCUAGUUGGUGUGGUAAUGGCGCACCAAGGCGACGAUCGGUAGCUGGUCUGAGAGGAUGAUCAGCCACAUUGGGACUGAGACACGGCCCAAACUCCUACGGGAGGCAGCAGUGGGGAAUAUUGGACAAUGGGCGCAAGCCUGAUCCAGCCAUGCCGCGUGAGUGAUGAAGGCCUUAGGGUUGUAAAGCUCUUUCGCUAGGGACGAUAAUGACGGUACCUAGACAAGAAGCCCCGGCUAACUUCGCGCCAGCAGCCGC
This 444-nucleotide ribosomal RNA is filed under the name uncultured bacterium. RNAcentral describes it as "SSU rRNA". It matches the Rfam family "Bacterial small subunit ribosomal RNA", at positions 26 to 518 of the family's 1533-position model. The record is from RNAcentral.